UGUGAGCACUUAAUUCAUCGUCGGCAACACAAAUGUGAUAUCAUUUAAAAAUAUAUUACAUUCAAGACGUAUGUUAUUUUCUCUUCUGUUACAACGCACGGGCUCUUUUGCUAGUCCGAUAUUACCAAAAUACAAGAGAAGAGCAAAAAUAAAAGGGGAAGGUACAGCCACGUACUGAAGAUGGAGGUGGAUGCGGACAUGGAUUCUCCAAUCCAACCAUGACCUGGAGUCAAACGUGGAUACGGACUGGACUCGCCCUCCACGCCGGCCGGCUGGCUCGGCCUCAAGCCACCGCGCCUUGCUGCGCCACAUCGCGGCCGGCUCGGCCUCGAAGUGCCACACCUGCUGCAACCACCACCUCGCUCUGCCUCCAUGGUCUCGAUGGCCGCUUCGCUCGCCUCUGCCUCUAUGUCUCCGUGCUCGCCGCUUCGCCGGCCUACCUCCACAGCCAUGAGACGGACCUCCGCCGCGCUUGCCGGCUCGCCACGCCGCUCGAGCUGCCCCUGCGCGGACCUCGCCUCGAGUCGCCACUGACGAGCCGCCCUGGCCGAGCCGCCAUCGUAACCCGCCUGUGUUGCUGCAGCACUCCACCUUGCCCUACCGCUUUUGCCGCGGCCGCCAUGGUUUACCUCGCCUCGGUCGCGUCCGUGGAGUAGGAUCACCAGCCGCAAGUCACUCAGCAAGUUCGAGCCCCACGUAUGGUCGAGACAUUGUUGUUGUCCUAAUCAGCGAGAGGAAGGAAGAAGGAAACAUUAGGUAAAAAAACUUGAGAGUCGUACAGAAAGCUAGUUCUACUCGGGUACGAAGCAUACAGAUCUGCCCUGCACAAUUUCGUCAGGCUCAGGAAACACUCUGAGUCGGCCUCGCCUUUGCUAUUGCGCUCCGCCUCACCACCGCGGCCUCGCUUCGCCGCCCCGCGCUGCCCCGUCGGCUUCGCUGCACCUCCGCCACCGUGGAGUACGUAGAUGAUGGACGGAUCCUAGUAUACUGCAAUACACGCACAUAAUAAAC
Molecule: long non-coding RNA, 1011 nt
Filed under: Hordeum vulgare
Lineage: Eukaryota; Viridiplantae; Streptophyta; Magnoliopsida; Poales; Poaceae
Description: long non-coding RNA (HVUL_LNC000858)
Source: RNAcentral